UGGGGCAUGAACCUGGCAUACAAUGUAGAUUCCUGUGUUUGUUAAGCAACAGCUACAUUGUCUGCUGGGUUUCCAGCUGCCUGG
This is a non-coding RNA of Phalacrocorax carbo (great cormorant), 84 nucleotides long. The record is from Rfam. NCBI's taxonomy places the organism in Eukaryota, Metazoa, Chordata, Aves, Suliformes, Phalacrocoracidae.